GGACCGUUUCAAUAAGCUCUCGUAAGUAUCUUACGACUCGUAAACCAGUUGCGAUUAUCGCAACUUGCCAUUUUGCGUUUCAAUAAACUUUCGCAACUUACGAUAUCGUAGAAUUCUCUCGUAAGUCUACGAGACGUAAGUAGCAGUCGUAGUUACGUCGAAACCAAAAUGGACGCCGCGUAUGUUGUGCAUAUAGACGCCGAAUAAGAAGCUUUUGGCUCCGUCUUUUUUAUCGACGACAAUACAGAGGAAGUAAACAUGUUGUUUUUUAUCCCUUGAUUACUUUCUGCAAAAUAUUUAACGUUGGAAUCAAUAUGUCAGUUACUGCCCUUUGUUUAUAUUCGAUAAGGAUAAAUAAAUCAAAAUAAAUUUCAAUUUAUCAUACGUGAAAACCCUAUGUGUUUAUUAUGUGUGUGAUUCAAUUAUAUUGUUCAACAGCAGUUGAAGUAUAUGCGCUUUCCGCCGCUCGAAUUUUUGUGCAAUGAUUAAUUUUGCUGUACUCAUCACUGACAUCAGUUAAAGAUUUUUGGCCAAAGAAAACAUCUAUUCCAAGCAGGCAGAUCUUCAUGGAAUCAGCAGAUCAUCUUUCCUUAUUUGACAUGCCUUCACGAGUUCAAUCAGCAAACAUAUGAUCGGUUUCCAGUCCGUGUACAACAACAAACUUGCAUGAAGGUUGGAUUCUGCCACAAGGCCUGGGAGCAGUGGAUGGGACUCUCAUACCCAUAAUACUGAAUACGUUAAAUUACACACAUGCAGUUGAACACAGCAGGAACUCUUGAAGAAAAAAAUGUGUAUUUUUUUUAUUUGAACUUAAAUGUAAAAUAUAUAUUAAUUUUAGCUCGACUAUACCUUGAAUGAUAAGCUGUGUAUAAAAUUAUGGUAAA
Dreissena polymorpha is the source of this 884-nucleotide long non-coding RNA. RefSeq lists it as uncharacterized. The record is from RefSeq and is a predicted model, not a curated record. Lineage: Eukaryota; Metazoa; Mollusca; Bivalvia; Myida; Dreissenidae. The transcript is spliced from 3 exons.